CCUACGGGAGGCAGCAGUGGGGAAUAUUGGGCAAUGGGCGCAAGCCUGACCCAGCAACGCCGCGUGAAGGAAGAAGGCCCUCGGGUUGUAAACUUCUUUUAUUCGGGACGAAACAAAUGACGGUACCGAAUGCAUAAGCCACGGCUAACUACGUGCCAGCAGCCGCGGUACUACGUAGGUGGCAAGCGUUAUCCGGAUUUACUGGGUGUAAAGGGCGUGUAGGCGGGAGAGCAAGUCAGACGUGAAAUUCCAGGGCUCAACCCUGGAACUGCGUUUGAAACUGUUCGUCUUGGGUGAUGGAGAGGCAGGCGGAAUUCCGGGUGUAGCGGUGAAAUGCGUAGAGAUACGGAGGAACACCAGUGGCGAAGGCGGCCUGCUGGACAUUAACUGACGCUGAGGCGCGAAAGCGUGGGGAGCAAACAGGAUUAGAUACCCGGGUAGUC
This 443-nucleotide ribosomal RNA is filed under the name uncultured bacterium. RNAcentral describes it as "partial 16S ribosomal RNA". It matches the Rfam family "Bacterial small subunit ribosomal RNA", at positions 338 to 795 of the family's 1533-position model. The record is from RNAcentral.